Molecule: long non-coding RNA, 578 nt
Organism: Schistocerca gregaria
Lineage: Eukaryota; Metazoa; Arthropoda; Insecta; Orthoptera; Acrididae
Exons: 4
Source: RefSeq, a predicted model, not a curated record
AUAAUUUUAUUAGUAAUUAAUGUAAAACGAAGAUCGGGCAAUCCAAUUGUAGCUCUCGGCGAGGCUCCUCGGCAGGCACACGGUGGAAAAACCGACAAAUUAUCCAAAUUACCAUCAUUAGUACCAAGGCUUGUCACAUGUUAACAGUGGAUAAUCCGGAGAAGUUCCAUGCAAUGCUUUACAACUGGACGUCUCCGACGGUAGUGCUAACACAUUCGUCCACAAGUUCAUGUACUCAAAGAUGCUGCUCGAAGUUCUUCCAAGUCGCACCUCUCUGCCUCUCAGGACAAUUUCAAAGAGGUCCGAACACGUUCGGCGAUAAGUUUUACGAGACUUCGUUGUACUCGUCUACUUCGGAAUGGAACAACGAAGCCCUACGUCUGAUGACAUACAUAGAAUCUUGGCUGAAUUGGUGAGAGAGGAAGCAGAGGGGAAAGGCCAUGAGGAAUCCCUAGAUGAUGACGUUUCCGGCGACCCAGAUUAUGAAUAAGAAGGGUUUGAUGAUGAUAGUGUUGUCAGCCUCAAAACGAAUAUGAAAUGGAUACAGACUGAUCAGCAUUUUUCAUCUGACAGAAAUG